This 446-nucleotide ribosomal RNA is filed under the name uncultured bacterium. RNAcentral describes it as "partial 16S ribosomal RNA". It matches the Rfam family "Bacterial small subunit ribosomal RNA", at positions 338 to 795 of the family's 1533-position model. The record is from RNAcentral.
CCUACGGGAGGCAGCAGUCGAGAAUCAUUCACAAUGGGGGAAACCCUGAUGGUGCGACGCCGCGUGGGGGAAUGAAGGUCUUCGGAUUGUAAACCCCUGUCAUGUGGGAGCAAAUUAAAAAGAUAGUACCACAAGAGGAAGAGACGGCUAACUCUGUGCCAGCAGCCGCGGUAAUACAGAGGUCUCAAGCGUUGUUCGGAAUCACUGGGCGUAAGGCGUGCGUAGGCUGUUUCGUAAGUCGUGUGUGAAAGGCGCGGGCUCAACCCGCGGACGGCAAAUGAGACUGCGAGACUAGAGUAAUGGAGGGGGAACCGGAAUUCUCGGUGUAGCAGUGAAAUGCGUAGAUAUCGAGAGGAACACUCGUGGCGAAGGCGGGUUCCUGGACAGUAACUGACGCUGAGGCACGAAGGCCAGGGGAGCGAAAGGGAUUAGAUACCCGGGUAGUC